AGACGCGGUACGGUAACCUACCUCACACAGAUAACAUACCGAAAGGUAUGCUAAUACGGGAUAAUAUAUUUGAGAGGCAUCUCUUGAAUAUCAAAGGUGAGCCAGUACAGGAUGGACCCGCGUCUGAUUAGCUAGUUGGUAAGGUAACGGCUUACCAAGGCGACGAUCAGUAGCCGACCUGAGAGGGUGAUCGGCCACAUUGGAACUGAGACACGGUCCAA
Molecule: ribosomal RNA, 221 nt
Filed under: uncultured bacterium
Lineage: Bacteria
Description: partial 16S ribosomal RNA
Rfam family: Bacterial small subunit ribosomal RNA
Source: RNAcentral